RNAcentral lists this ribosomal RNA (1004 nucleotides) under Brocchiosphaera microspora. RNAcentral describes it as "SSU rRNA". It matches the Rfam family "Eukaryotic small subunit ribosomal RNA", at positions 87 to 1099 of the family's 1831-position model. Lineage: Eukaryota; Fungi; Ascomycota; Sordariomycetes; Pisorisporiales. The record is from RNAcentral.
CUGCGAAUGGCUCAUUAAAUCAGUUAUCGUUUAUUUGAUAGUACCCUACUUACUUGGAUAACCGUGGUAAUUCUAGAGCUAAUACAUGCUGAAAAUCCCGACUUCGGAAGGGAUGUAUUUAUUAGAUUAAAAGCCAAUGCCCCUCUGGGGCUUCUUGGUGAUUCAUAAUAACUGGUCGAAUCGCAUGGCCUUGAGCUGGCGAUGGUUCAUUCAAAUUUCUGCCCUAUCAACUUUCGAUUGUUGGGUAUUGGCCAACAAUGGUGACAACGGGUAACGGAGGGUUAGGGCUCGACCCCGGAGAAGGAGCCUGAGAAACGGCUACUACAUCCAAGGAAGGCAGCAGGCGCGCAAAUUACCCAAUCCCGACUCGGGGAGGUAGUGACGAACAAUACUGAUACAGGGCCCUUUUGGGUCUUGUAAUUGGAAUGAGUACAAUUUAAAUCCCUUAACGAGGAACAAUUGGAGGGCAAGUCUGGUGCCAGCAGCCGCGGUAAUUCCAGCUCCAAUAGCGUAUAUUAAAGUUGUUGUGGUUAAAAAGCUCGUAGUUGAACCUUGGGCCUGGCUGGUCGGUCCGCCUCACCGCGUGCACUGAUCCGGCCGGGCCUUUCCCUCUGUGGAACCCCAUGGCCUUCACUGGUUGUGGUGGGGAAGCAGGACUUUUACUUUGAAAAAAUUAGAGUGUUCAAAGCAGGCCUAUGCUCGGAUACAUUAGCAUGGAAUAAUGGAAUAGGACGUGUGGUUCUAUUUCGUUGGUUUCUAGGACCGCCGUAAUGAUUAAUAGGGACAGUCGGGGGCAUCAGUAUUCAAUUGUCAGAGGUGAAAUUCUUGGAUUUAUUGAAGACUAACUACUGCGAAAGCAUUUGCCAAGGAUGUUUUCAUUAAUCAGGAACGAAAGUUAGGGGAUCGAAGACGAUCAGAUACCGUCGUAGUCUUAACCAUAAACUAUGCCGACUAGGGAUCGGACGAUGUUAUUUUUUGACUCGUUCGGCACCUUACGAGAAAUU